GAUGAACGCUGGCGGCGUGCCUAAUACAUGCAAGUCGAGCGAACAGACGAGGAGCUUGCUCCUCUGACGUUAGCGGCGGACGGGGGAGUAGCAAGUGGAUAACCUACCUAUACGACUGGGAUAACUUCGGGAAACAGGAGCUGAUAACGGGUAAUAUAUUGGACCGCAUGGUUCAAUAGUGAAAGACGGUUUUGCUGUCACUUAUAGAUGGAUCCGCGCCGCAUUAGCUAGUUGGUAAGGUAACGGCUUACCAAGGCGACGAUGCGUAGCCGACCUGAGAGGGUGAUCGGCCACACUGGAACUGAGACACGGUCGAGACUCCUACGGGAGGCAGCAGUAGUGAAUCUUCCGCAAUGGGCGAAAGCCUGACGGAGCAACGCCGCGUGAGUGAUGAAGGUCUUCGUAUCGUAAAACUCUGUUAUUAGGGAAGAACAAAUGUGUAAGUAACUAUGCACGUCUUGACGGUACCUAAUCAGAAAGCCACGGCUAACUACGUG
Molecule: ribosomal RNA, 497 nt
Filed under: uncultured bacterium
Lineage: Bacteria
Description: partial 16S ribosomal RNA
Rfam family: Bacterial small subunit ribosomal RNA
Source: RNAcentral